RNAcentral lists this ribosomal RNA (1348 nucleotides) under Nocardiopsis prasina. Its description in RNAcentral is "bacterial SSU rRNA". It matches the Rfam family "Bacterial small subunit ribosomal RNA", at positions 84 to 1430 of the family's 1533-position model. The record is from RNAcentral. Lineage: Bacteria; Bacillati; Actinomycetota; Actinomycetes; Streptosporangiales; Nocardiopsidaceae.
GGGGUACACGAGCGGCGAACGGGUGAGUAACACGUGAGCAACCUGCCCCUGACUCCGGGAUAAGCGGUGGAAACGCCGUCUAAUACCGGAUACGACCCGCCACCUCAUGGUGGAGGGUGGAAAGUUUUAUCGGUCAGGGAUGGGCUCGCGGCCUAUCAGCUUGUUGGUGGGGUAACGGCCUACCAAGGCGAUUACGGGUAGCCGGCCUGAGAGGGCGACCGGCCACACUGGGACUGAGACACGGCCCAGACUCCUGCGGGAGGCAGCAGUGGGGAAUAUUGCACAAUGGGCGAAAGCCUGAUGCAGCGACGCCGCGUGGGGGAUGACGGCCUUCGGGUUGUAAACCUCUUUUACCACCAACGCAGGCUCCACGUUCUCGUGGGGUUGACGGUAGGUGGGGAAUAAGGACCGGCUAACUACGUGCCAGCAGCCGCGGUAAUACGUAGGGUCCGAGCGUUGUCCGGAAUUAUUGGGCGUAAAGAGCUCGUAGGCGGCAUGUCGCGUCUGCUGUGAAAGACCGGGGCUUAACUCCGGUUCUGCAGUGGAUACGGGCAUGCUAGAGGUAGGUAGGGGAGACUGGAAUUCCUGGUGUAGCGGUGAAAUGCGCAGAUAUCAGGAGGAACACCGGUGGCGAAGGCGGGUCUCUGGGCCUUACCUGACGCUGAGGAGCGAAAGCAUGGGGAGCGAACAGGAUUAGAUACCCUGGUAGUCCAUGCCGUAAACGUUGGGCGCUAGGUGUGGGGACUUUCCACGGUUUCCGCGCCGUAGCUAACGCAUUAAGCGCCCCGCCUGGGGAGUACGGCCGCAAGGCUAAAACUCAAAGGAAUUGACGGGGGCCCGCACAAGCGGCGGAGCAUGUUGCUUAAUUCGACGCAACGCGAAGAACCUUACCAAGGUUUGACAUCACCCGUGGACCUGUAGAGAUACAGGGUCAUUUAGUUGGUGGGUGACAGGUGGUGCAUGGCUGUCGUCAGCUCGUGUCGUGAGAUGUUGGGUUAAGUCCCGCAACGAGCGCAACCCUUGUUCCAUGUUGCCAGCACGUAAUGGUGGGGACUCAUGGGAGACUGCCGGGGUCAACUCGGAGGAAGGUGGGGACGACGUCAAGUCAUCAUGCCCCUUAUGUCUUGGGCUGCAAACAUGCUACAAUGGCCGGUACAAUGGGCGUGCGAUACCGUAAGGUGGAGCGAAUCCCUUAAAGCCGGUCUCAGUUCGGAUUGGGGUCUGCAACUCGACCCCAUGAAGGUGGAGUCGCUAGUAAUCGCGGAUCAGCAACGCCGCGGUGAAUACGUUCCCGGGCCUUGUACACACCGCCCGUCACGUCAUGAAAGUCGGCAACACCCGAAACUUG